Molecule: ribosomal RNA, 821 nt
Filed under: uncultured marine bacterium
Lineage: Bacteria
Description: bacterial SSU rRNA
Rfam family: Bacterial small subunit ribosomal RNA
Source: RNAcentral
AACGAACGCUGGCGGCAGGCCUAAUACAUGCAAGUCGAGCGCAUUCUUCGGAAUGAGCGGCGGACGGGUGAGUAACGCGUGGGAAUAUGCCCUUCUCUAAGGAAUAGCCUCUGGAAACGGAGAGUAAUACCUUAUACGCCCUUCGGGGGAAAGAUUUAUCGGAGAAGGAUUAGCCCGCGUUAGAUUAGGUAGUUGGUGGGGUAAUGGCCUACCAAGCCUACGAUCUAUAGCUGGUUUGAGAGGAUGAUCAGCCACACUGGGACUGAGACACGGCCCAGACUCCUACGGGAGGCAGCAGUAGGGAAUCUUAGACAAUGGGGGCAACCCUGAUCUAGCCAUGCCGCGUGUGUGAUGAAGGCCCUAGGGUCGUAAAGCACUUUCGCCAGAGAUGAUAAUGACAGUAUCUGGUAAAGAAACCCCGGCUAACUCCGUGCCAGCAGCCGCGGUAAUACGGAGGGGGUUAGCGUUGUUCGGAAUUACUGGGCGUAAAGCGCACGUAGGCGGAUUAGUAAGUUAGAGGUGAAAUCCCAGGGCUCAACCCUGGAACUGCCUUUAAUACUGCUAGUCUUGAGUUCGAGAGAGGUAAGUGGAAUUCCGAGUGUAGAGGUGAAAUUCGUAGAUAUUCGGAGGAACACCAGUGGCGAAGGCGGCUUACUGGCUCGAUACUGACGCUGAGGUGCGAAAGUGUGGGGAGCAAACAGGAUUAGAUACCCUGGUAGUCCACACCGUAAACGAUGAAUGCCAGACGUCAGCAAGUAUACUUGUUGGUGUCACACCUAACGGAUUAAGCAUUCCGCCUGGGGAGUACGGUCGCAAGAUUA